GGGUCAGUAGGUUGGUCGUGCCACCGGUACGUACUGGUCUCACUGAUUCCUCCUUCCUGAAGAACCGUAAUGCCAUUAAUCUGGUGUUGCGGGGAAACAGGACUGAUACUUUGAAAAAAUUAGAGUGUUUAAAGCAAGCUAACGCUUGAAUACAUUAGCAUGGAAUAAUGAAAUAGGGCGAUCGAUCCUAUUUUGUUGGUUUCUAGGAUUGACGUA
This 216-nucleotide ribosomal RNA is filed under the name Glomeromycotina sp. Its description in RNAcentral is "partial small subunit ribosomal RNA". The stretch from base 40 to 216 matches the Rfam family "Eukaryotic small subunit ribosomal RNA", at positions 686 to 864 of the family's 1831-position model. Lineage: Eukaryota; Fungi; Glomeromycota. The record is from RNAcentral.